Molecule: unclassified non-coding RNA, 4958 nt
Filed under: Leishmania donovani
Lineage: Eukaryota; Euglenozoa; Kinetoplastea; Trypanosomatida; Trypanosomatidae
Description: gene:LdHU3.35.0980(CDS-product:hypothetical_prote in_conserved)
Source: RNAcentral
GGGUCCACCACAUCCUUUUCGCCCUCUCCGUUGUUGAUCGUCCCUAUCGCGCGUUUGCCCCUUGCUCCGGUGCUUUUCAUCUUUUCGAGAGGGGGAUACCUGUGCCAGGCGCUACGUGCUAGGCUAACAGCCGGUCACUUCCCUCUGGCGCCACGCCUUCCCGCAUUUUUUUUCGUCUCUUUAUCUAUCUGUUGCAUGGUGCCGUUUAUCGUUGCCUCUGUGCUCUCCCUCUGUAUGCCUUCCCAUUCGUACAAAUUUGUACACAUACGCAUGCAUUCAGCGCCUUCUCCUGUCCCGCAGCCCCCCCCCCAUCCUCCUCCUCCUGCCCCACGCUUCUGUGGUGCCUCUUCGUCUUUGCUUUCCCUCCCUGAAUACUGAAAGAAGAAAGAAGGGAAGCAGAGAAACAACACUAACAAACAACAACAUACACACGCAACGUAAUAAUCUCGGAAACAAGCCCUAGCUUUCCUCGUCAUCAUCACCAAACUGGUCUUUCCCUGCUUGGUUAUCCUGCCUCGCUUGAUUUUUUUUUUCUGCUCUCUUCCUCCUCGCGUGAGUGUGCGUGUCUUGGUUUCGCUUCUACCCUCUGAAGACUAGUUGCUGAUCUUGCGUGUUUGGCUCCUGGUGACUGUGUUGGCGGUGGUGGUGCGCACAGCACGUCGUGCGCUUGAAGGUGUAUUUACGGUGUUGCAUGAGUGAGUGUCUGUUUGUCCUCGUCCCUUCUCUUUCUUUCCCUUCCGCACACACGUACACGCCUCCGCUUCGCCCGCUCCAUCCUUUCCCACCAAGCGUGAAUCAUAUAUAUAUAUAUAUAUAUAUAUAUCAUUUAUUGCAGGCGUGUACGAGACGCCUCAACAAUCAACCUGGUGUUCUGCCGGCUACUCGGAUUGAACCUCUUUUCCUUUCUUCCCCCUUCCCCUUCAUUUUUCAAUAGCCCGUCUCUCCCUCCCUCUCUCCUUCACCUCUAUACCUCUUGCUGUGGUGGGUGUGGGCGUGUGUACAGUUGAAGCGUUUCCCUCGCUUGCUUGCUUGUUUCGUUCCGCUUUCUUCUUCUCGGUCUUGCACUCUUGUGAAGGGAGCGUGUCUUUGGGUGGCCUCUCCCUCCCACCCAGCCUCCCUCUCCUUCUUUGUUUGUAUUAUUUCCUUCCUUCUGUCGUGGUAGCGGUGUUCGCGUUUUUUUUUCUUUCUUUGAAUACCUCGGAAACGAAAAGUGAAGAACAGAAAAAAAAAACGAAACAGGCGAGGAGGGGCAGCGUGACAAAAGUGCGUAGGGUGUGCUUCUAGAGACUUGUAGAUUUCGCCCCCUCCUUUUGUGGGCGUUAUUUGUGCGUGUGUGCUUUCUAGUCUCUCUCGCGCUCUUUCCAUUUUGGCCGCUUCCGCCUCAUCCCUGUUUUUUUUUUGUUUUGCUUUGUUGUUCUACUCCUCAGCAACGGCUUAGUGGACGGUGCUCGUAAAACAUCGGGGCAGUGUGCGCGCCCGGGUGUUUGUGUCCUUGACGUUCCCUGAGUGGUGUACUCACGAGCUCACCUGGGUCUAACUUGCCCCCUCUCCCUUGUGUUGCCUCUCACAUCGCUCACGCGCGCGCAUGAGUAAUGGCGCACGCGUACACAGACCCAACAUCCAUCAACUACAUCCUGCAACGUGCACACGAUGAGCUGCGGCGUGGCGAGAGUCAGCACUACCGCUCCACCGAGGCUCAGUACACCAAUCAUGUAAAAGAACUGCUGGGCAACUUGGAGCGCUACCUCGAAACGUGUGGCGUGCGGCUCCCCACUCAAAUGCAGGAGGGAGCAGAGAUUACUGCUACCGCAGCGGCAGCUGGUGAGAAGGAAAGUGGGCGAAUGCCGUUUUCGGCACCACCACGCGGUCGUUUGGUGGAAACUCAGCGCGUAAGACAAGGCCGCCGCCUCGGCAGCGGGUCUGCGUCCGCGUCCGUGACGGUCGGCAGUGCAAAGUGCGACAGCGACGCCGUGAACCGGCACGAGGAGGCAAGCAACAGUCUCAGUGCUUCCUCAAGUGGGCCAGUCCGCGGCGGGUGGGGAAAGCUGGCAACCUCAUGCGAAGCGCAGCGCGGCAGCGGCGCGGCGAACGCGUGCCAUGUCGCGAGCAGUUGCCCCGUAGCGGCGGCGACGUCGGCUCGUCACGGUAUUUAUAUGAAGAGCAAUCAGGUAAAUACGAUGUCUGGCUCUUCCUCUUCGCCGCUCGGGGCCGCCUACCAGCAGAACAUCGCGCCAGACAAUAGGAGCGUGCGCACGGCCAGCAGCGAAAGUGAGGCGAGCAUCCUAUACAAAUCACAGCAAGCGACCACGGCGCAUGCUGCGUACUCGUCCUCUUCGCCAUCCAUGGCCGUCGACGUUGGGGCUGACGGCAACGCGGAAGGCAACACCGCCUCUCUUCUGUGCAGCGGCGAUGCCGCUGGCAUGGACAGCUGCAGUGUGGACAGUGGCAGUGCCCCCAUCGUGGCCAUCAUCGACUCUGGGUGCGGGGGCGGUGAUGACCCGAGGAGCAGGGGGCACGGCGAGAGCGUGACAAUGAGGUCGCCCCCUGCACCGCCGAAGCUGCCGGACCACUACGCAGAGGAGGCCGCGCGCGGCGGCCUCUACGCGUCAGGCCACGGCUUCAGCCGCAGCGCCAGCACCCACCUUACGAUGUCGAACGCGAUUGCCUCUGCAUCCUGUGUUUCCGAUGCGGGUGCGGGUGCCGCUUGCACCGCUGCCGCUCAUGACCGCUGGGGUGAGUUCGGUGCCUUCGUACAGUCAAUCACGGAGAGCCGCCAGAACAGCAAUCUGGCGUCUCUCCGGAGCGCAGCCGCUGCGAGAUGUCCGCUGCCGGACGGCGUCAACGGCGCUCCGGUUGCCCCUCUCCCUGCCGCGAUGCGAAAUGCGGAAAACGGCAGCAGUGGAGCAGUGUCGGCCCCGCUUGCCGUGGUAGCGCCGCCACCUGGUGCCGACCCCAUGGUUGGCUUGCAGCUCCCUUACUUGCCCAGCACCGCCACCUCCAUGACGACCCCUCCCGCGCCUGUCUCGUCUGCCGCUGCAGACGGGCAAGCGCAGCCGUCGCCGCUGCACUCGAUUGGCGCCAAAAUCAGCACCUCUUCUCUGACACUACAGGUGGCGCACGGAGCCGGCAGCAGCGCGGUGCGUGCGUUGGCCGCCGCAGGCGUCGCAGUGGAAGCGGGUGGCAACAGCGAGAUGACAGACGCGGAGGUUGAUAAGUCACUGUCACCUUCGUUUGGUAUCUUGAACUCCACUCUUCCAAUCGCCCCAGUGCCACGACAGCGCUGCGUGGAAGAAGCGGGCGUCGAAGUGCCGCAGCUCGAGUACAUUCCCUCUCCGCCGCUGCACUCAGGACCUGGUCGGCCAGCCUAUUUUACAGCUGUAGUGGCCCCCAUGCAGCGCGUGACGUCUGCGCCGCUUGCCAGUCAUCGCCUCUGUGGCGGUGGCAGUGACGGCAUGAAUUUGAUUGCGCACCACCAACAAGCACAGCGCGGCUCAGUUCCGCCGCACCCCGGAACGUCAGCCGGCGCGGUCGCAGCGACCGCGCCGACGAGGAAUCCGGCGAAGGCGCAGCUGAUGUGCCGCUUAAGAGAGGUGCUGAAACGCUCCGUCUUUGGGAAAUCAUCGGUCCAGUCCUCUGCAGUGCCAUCCGCGGUUGCUGCGGGAAGGCGGUCAUCCUUGUCCGAUGACGCUGCGUGCGGCGUAGGAGAGUAUCAAGAGAAACACUCUGUAGCCGGCAGCACCAGGGUGCCCGUGUCAGCACUUGUGCCUUCGCCCCAGUCUCUGCGGCAGAACCAGCAGAUGCUAGGCUAUCCUACUCCGUUGCCGAGCGCAACAAAGACAGACGACGCCCCUGGCGGGUCAGCAAACGCGCAGCGUAGUGACAUCCCGUCUGAGCUCAAGAACAGCGACAAUCGUGGGGAUGGGACUGGCGGUGUGGCAUGGGACGACUCGUGGGAUUUCCUUCGGCUCGCCACCGCCGCGAUCUCAGAGUUCCCGCAGACCACGUCAAGCAAAGACCUCCUCAGCGAAGCAGCCACUUCUCACAGCGUGUCGCGCGGGACUGUACGUCCCAAAGACGCCGGCGGCGAUGAGGACAGCGGCAGCAUGGGCCCUCCCGGGUGUGAUCACGCGCCGAAGGAGGGGUGCCGCGCUCACCGAUGUGUCGGCAGCAGCAACAAAGCCGCUACCAUGGCCGCAGCAAGGCCAUCUGGUGGCCUCAGGGCCUGUCGCAGGUGGGACACGAGUAGCUACGCGACGGCGAACAACACCUCCUUCCGUGCAUGCGCGGAAGAAAUGAUAGCGGCAUCGUUCGUCGCCAAUGCCCAGAAUUACCGGCCUUCAUUGCCCGCUCCCAUGUCGUGGAUGCGACCCGCACGCAGCCCGCCAGGCAUCGCGUUGCAGGGCACCUCGGCUUCCGAUGGAUACCGGCCAGGACUCACGAAAAGCGGCAUGGACAACUUCAGCCGAGCUGAGGAGGUACUGCGAGCGCGCCAGAGGCAGUCCUUCUCGGCCAACUUCUCCCCAGCACACGCGGAGAAGCAGCAGCUGAUGCAGCGGCUGCGCAUGGUGCUCAGUCUUCAUGGCGAGUAAGCUCUGACGAAGAGGUGAACGCCCGUGCAGCAGCUGAAGAGGCCAGCCGCGGCCACCACCAUCCCACACGCAUCUCUUACACUGCAAUGCACCCACACAGACACAGGCGGAACCACGUACGUGCGUGCGCGGAAAGGUCUUUCUUUUUCUUUACAUCCUCUCUCUCUGUCUUUCCUUUUUCUUUUUCUCUUGUCUAGUUCCGCCAUAUCGCUGUUGCGAACAGCGCCUGUUUAGCGGCGUGUGGUAGGAGGGGAGGGGAGUCCGUGUGUGUGUGUGUGUGUGUGUGUGUGUGUGUGUGUGUACACCGCAGUUGUGCGAGUUCAGAGCGUGCCACUGAAGUUGUAAGUGAAUUCUGAAUGAGUAUCGGAC